AUUGUCUGGGGGAAUGCUGCGUGACCCGAACAGCCAGCACAGAAUGUCUAGGUUCUUUCAUCCCGUGUGGCCGGGCUGCAGCUGGGUCACCUUUGCUAUGUAUGUCCAGGGAGAGUGUGACUUCCACUGGUUACCCAGCACAAGGUCUAUGAAAUGAGACUUCACAACACAAGUGGCUGGACAAUGUUUUGUGAGAUCUUGCCAUGGAAACCCAGGGUACAAUAGAUGAAGCAGAAGAGAACAGGGAGGCAAGGUGAGAUUAACAGAACUAAAAUCACACUUCAAAUUAAAUGAGACAAGAAGAUGAAGUAGUUUUUCCAGCAGCUAAACGUAUGCACUGUUAUCUCUUUAAUAAAAUGAAGGCAGGAGGAAAAAAGCAUCACAGAACCUCUCCAGAGUGGCAGAUUAGCAGGAACUGUAACUCACCACCACAGCUCGAAAAGAUUUACGUUGUGCUACUUCCCUCUUCUUCAUUCUCCCAUUGUUUAACCAUCAACACUGCAGACACCACACACUUGCCAUUUCUCUUUUAAAUCGAUCAAGUAGUUGGCUUUUAUGUUUCUUACUGGGUGGGAAAUUCCUCUAGGUUUGAGCCGUCCAUCUAUGAUUUUGGUGAGCAAACUGUGGAAGGCUGAGCCCCUCAAGUGUUCGGAUCCUUGAGACUGAGGGUUGUUCAGCUUCAGAGAGCUUCAGUUUUAAGCAAAUAUGGGGACAGUGUGAAGGAAGUCCAAGAGGAGAGGGUGGCAGGGGCGUAAGGACAUAUGGGUGCAGCCUUUCAGCUCAGCAGGGCUUUUGAUCAUGAGGACUGUCCUAAUGGCUUCUGAGAGAGUUAUGAGGAACAGAAAUACCCCAAACUAAACCCCAGAAUGAAAGCAAGGCAACUCCCCUUGGCCCUGCCCAUCCUUCCCCCUGCCCUCCUGCCCACUCUACCUACAAGAAGACGGAAGGAGACAGUUUUUGAAAGCACCCAGCUGUAAUUGGUGAGCACGCUUGUCCAGGGAGCCAUCCCAUGGCACAGAAUGGGCUUCAGCUCCUCUCCAUCUGGCACAGGACGGCUAUGAGAGCAGAGACUGCCACCCACCAAUCACACCUUCCCACCUCUAGAGUAGACAAAGAUGGCUCUUUAGGUCAUUUUAUUUUAUUUCUUUGUUGUUUCCCCCCCCCUUUUUUUUUCUCCUCCCCCCGUUUUUUUUUUUUUUUUACAAAAAUUUCUACAUCUAAAUCACUUUGCUAUAGAAACAUUAUUUUCUUUCCUUUUUUUUUUUUUUUUUUUUUUUACAUUAGUUAAAGCAGAACCUGCUUUUGUGAAAAAAGACAAGGAUCAAGGUCUUAUUUCAUGCAGAAAAUGCAAAUUAAAGAACAUAAAAAUG
This is a long non-coding RNA of Gallus gallus (chicken), 1370 nucleotides long. The record is from Ensembl. Lineage: Eukaryota; Metazoa; Chordata; Aves; Galliformes; Phasianidae.